GAUGAACGCUAGCGGCAGGCUUAAUACAUGCAAGUCGAGGGGCAGCACGGUUAGCAAUAACUGGUGGCGACCGGCGCACGGGUGCGUAACACGUAUACAAUCUACCUUAAACAGGGGGAUAGCCUUUCGAAAGAGAGAUUAAUACCCGUAAUAAAUUGAACGGCAUCGUUUGAUUUUGAAGGCUCCGGCGGUUUGAGAUGAGUAUGCGUCUGAUUAGCUAGUUGGUGAGGUAACGGCUCACCAAGGCGACGAUCAGUAGGGGAUCUGAGAGGACUAACCCCCACACUGGUACUGAGACACGGACCAGACUCCUACGGGAGGCAGCAGUAAGGAAUAUUGGUCAAUGGAGGCAACUCUGAACCAGCCAUGCCGCGUGCAGGAUGACGGCCCUAUGGGUUGUAAACUGCUUUUAUACAAGAGAAAACCCUGGUACGUGUACCAGGUUGAUAGUAUUGUAAGAAUAAGCAUCGGCUAACUUCGUGCCAGCAGCCGCGGUAAU
This 499-nucleotide ribosomal RNA is filed under the name uncultured bacterium. RNAcentral's name for it is "bacterial SSU rRNA". It matches the Rfam family "Bacterial small subunit ribosomal RNA", at positions 28 to 524 of the family's 1533-position model. The record is from RNAcentral.